GACGAACGCUGGCGGCGUGCUUAACACAUGCAAGUCGAACGGAAAGGCCCUGCUUUUGUGGGGUGCUCGAGUGGCGAACGGGUGAGUAACACGUGAGUAACCUGCCCUUGACUUUGGGAUAACUUCAGGAAACUGGGGCUAAUACCGGAUAGGAUCUCCUGCUGCAUGGUGGGGGUUGGAAAGUUUCGGCGGUUGGGGCUGGACUCGCGGCUUAUCAGCUUGUUGGUGGGGUAGUGGCUUACCAAGGCUUUGACGGGUAGCUGGCCUGAGAGGGUGACCGGCCACAUUGGGACUGAGAUACGGCCCAGACUCCUACGGGAGGCAGCAGUGGGGAAUAUUGCACAAUGGGCGGAAGCCUGAUGCAGCAACGCCGCGUGCGGGAUGACGGCCUUCGGGUUGUAAACCGCUUUCGCCUGUGACGAAGCGUGAGUGACGGUAAUGGGUAAAGAAGCACCGGCUAACUACGUG
RNAcentral lists this ribosomal RNA (468 nucleotides) under uncultured bacterium. Its description in RNAcentral is "partial 16S ribosomal RNA". It matches the Rfam family "Bacterial small subunit ribosomal RNA", at positions 28 to 507 of the family's 1533-position model. The record is from RNAcentral.